AGGUUGACCUCGGAUCAGGUAGGAAUACCCGCUGAACUUAAGCAUAUCAAUAAGCGGAGGAAAAGAAACCAACAGGGAUUACCCUAGUAACGGCGAGUGAAGCGGUAACAGCUCAAAUUUGAAAUCUGACCUUCACGGGUCCGAGUUGUAAUUUGUAGAGGAUGUUUCGGAUAAGGCUUUGGUUUAAGUUUCUUGGAACAGAACGUCAUAGAGGGUGAGAGUCCCGUCUAGAACCGAUAGCCCCGUUCAUGUGAAACUCCUUCGACGAGUCGAGUUGUUUGGGAAUGCAGCUCAAAAUGGGUGGUAAAUUUCAUCUAAAGCUAAAUAUUGGCCAGAGACCGAUAGCGCACAAGUAGAGUGAUCGAAAGAUGAAAAGCACUUUGAAAAGAGAGUUAAACAGUAUGUGAAAUUGUUGAAAGGGAAGCGCUUGCAACCAGACUUGUGUUUAACGGUUCCCCUGUGUCUUUUGACCAGGCUAUUCCGUUAUAUCCAGGCCAGCAUCGGUUCGGGUGGUUGGUUAAAGGCCUUGGGAAUGUAUCUACCUUCGGGUCGACUUAUAGCUCGGGGUGUAAUGCGGCCUACCUAGACCGAGGAACGCGCUUUGCUCGAUGC
RNAcentral lists this ribosomal RNA (612 nucleotides) under uncultured Chaetothyriales. RNAcentral describes it as "eukaryotic LSU rRNA". It matches the Rfam family "Eukaryotic large subunit ribosomal RNA", at positions 1 to 626 of the family's 3401-position model. The record is from RNAcentral. Lineage: Eukaryota; Fungi; Ascomycota; Eurotiomycetes; Chaetothyriales.